UUAUUAUUAAACUUUAUUAUAUAGUCUUACUUAACAUUGUUUCAGUUAACUUUGAUUUUUAUUCUUACAUAGUAAGUGAAAUAUUUAUUAACUAAUUAUAAAAUUAAAGUUUUUAAUGCAAAAGUACUGAAAAAGUUUUAAAUUUCCUUGUAUGAAAGAAAAGGAGGUGGCCAUACACUGAGUUGGCAAAUUAUUAUGAUCACCAGAUGAUUUUAGAUAAAAUAAUUAUUCUAUAAAUAAUUCUGAUAUAAGAUGUCUUCAUUAUCUGUGGAACAAAGAUAUGGAGAGACUAAUGAAGAUAACAUUAAUGAAAUAAUGGGUAAACAACAUAUUCUAAUGGAUCUUGAACAUGGAAUGAUUAUAGACACAACAGCAGUGCAAAUCAUUAAUAAAAUGGCUGCACUGGUGAAUUGUUCAAGAGCAACAGCAGUUAAUGUAUACAGAGUGGAUCAAAAGACGAGAAAAAACGAUCUGAGCACAAGACUUGCAAUUAUAAAUGGCAACUGGAUGUUCAAAUGGAAUAGAGAGUGAAUAGAUUUGUUCACUCCAAUAAAUGGACAAUAGUACAACAAAUUACAGAUAAUGUGAAUCAAAGGGAUAGCUCAAAUAGUCUCUCAAUGAAUAAUAUGCUGCACAUUACAUCAUAUGGAUUACUGAAGCAGAAAUACUAACUCAAUAAUCAUAAUAAUUUGUCCAUUCAAUGUAUAUAUACAGUAGUAGUAAAUAGGAAAUGAAGUAAACAUAUUUCAUAUGACUGCAAAUUCAAAUGUGUGAGAUUAAGUAUCUGGAUAAUUUGUUAAAUCAUUUAAAAUUGUUGGAUUAAAUUUUAUUGUUUGUAUUUUAUAUUAAUUGACACCAAUGCAU
This 864-nucleotide long non-coding RNA is filed under the name Androctonus crassicauda. The record is from RNAcentral. Lineage: Eukaryota; Metazoa; Arthropoda; Arachnida; Scorpiones; Buthidae.